AACGAACGCUGGCGGCAUGCCUAACACAUGCAAGUCGAACGAGACCUUCGGGUCUAGUGGCGCACGGGUGCGUAACGCGUGGGAACCUGCCCUUAGGUUCGGAAUAACUCCCCGAAAGGGGUGCUAAUACCGGAUAAUGUCUUCGGACCAAAGAUUUAUCGCCUUUGGAUGGGCCCGCGUUGGAUUAGCUAGUUGGUAGGGUAAAAGCCUACCAAGGCGGCGAUCCAUAGCUGGUCUGAGAGGAUGAUCAGCCACACUGGGACUGAGACACGGCCCAGACAGGGAGAGAAGGCAGCAGUGGGGAAUCGUCCGCAAUGGGCAAAGGGGUGAGGUUGAAACGCCGCGUGGGUGAUGAAGGUCUUCGGAUCGGAAAACACUGUGAUAAGGGAAGAAGAUAUGUGUACGGAACAGUGGACGCCAUCACCGGAGCUAAAGAGAAAACAACGGCUAGCUCCGUG
This 458-nucleotide ribosomal RNA is filed under the name uncultured bacterium. RNAcentral describes it as "partial 16S ribosomal RNA". It matches the Rfam family "Bacterial small subunit ribosomal RNA", at positions 29 to 507 of the family's 1533-position model. The record is from RNAcentral.